ACAAUUGCUGUCUGCAGCUUUUUAUUUAUUUAUUUUGAAAGUUUGAAAGAAAUUGAAAGUUAUUCACAAUGAAUUUUGGUUGCUGCACGAAACUGGUAUAAGUUAGCAACAGCAACUAAGGUUGGUCAUUUUUUUUGCAAAAUAAACCCAGUUCAGGAUGAUCGGAACACAGAAGCAUAUCUUAAAUUGAAAAUUGAUGGUUCGUUUCAAGAUCUUAUUGAAAUGCACCCUCCUCCAUUUUCUUUAAUCUAGCAAUGAUUCUGCAUGACACAUUUGUUCUUAAUGGAAAGGCGUCUUAAAGACAAACAUGGAUUGAGGAAGACAAAAAGCUACAGGAGGUGCUCUGUAACCUAUUGGUUCCAGGACCGGCCUCUCUGAACUCUUUCUGUGACCCCAAUUUCAUCCUAUGUCCAUGGUCUCUUUGGACGCUGCAGUCACCCGUAAUUGGUUUUGACAUUCUGUGUUUCGCAGUGUGUGUGAACAAGCUGUCUUUGGUGUACCAUGUCCAUGAGGUUCAUGGGAAGAAGCUAGCAAAGCCCUGCCCAAAUCUAAGCUUCCCCCUCCUCUUGUCUCCUCCUCUCCGGUCUAGAUCCAUUGGCUGGCAUCUCUGUGGUGGAAUGCUGCUGGGACCCCCUUCUAACCUCCUCUCAACCCUCCCCUUGAGUCCACCCAUCCACCCAUUAGGAAUUCCAGCAGGGCACUGUGGGUGGGAUGAAUGGCAUGAGAGCCAAGGAAAUGAAAUUUCACCACCCUCGACGUCAGUGGCGCCUCUGCCUGUGAUGUCAGACGGUCUGAGGCUGUCACAAUUGUUAGCCGUGUGCCUGAUGUCUCAAGCCUCCCCUAUUUACAGAUCCAGCAAAUCCAGGCACCCAAACAACCCCAUCCACCACCAUUCAUCCUCUAAAUACUGAUAAAAACAACUGCCUGACCACAGACGCAGUGGAAUGUGCUUUGCAGUGUUUCACAAAGGCAGACGGUCUCUCAGACAGCUGCCAAUUCUCCCACAAAUGUGCGAGUCUGGGGUUCACGGGAGGUAGAACCUCAAAAAAAAAAACAAAAAAAAACGUCUGUGUAGAUGCCGCUACCUUCGUGGCCGGGCUUUCUGUUACAUUGGGCCCAAAUCCAAAGCUCUGGAUGAGCUUAAACUUGCCGUCCUUUUCCAAAUCUGCACGGACAAGUCCUCCCUACCGCCACAUGUUUUUAAUUACAGCAGCAUUUGAUCAAAUGUUGCCAACAGGGCAAGACGGAGAUCGUAAUAUGUAAAGCUCAAAGCUUUAACGUCUGAGUCAGGAUUUAAGUUUUUUACAAAAACCAAACAUCUAUGACUUGUUUGCAUGCAAAACACUUGUGGUCUCUCAUCUACACGCAACAAAUCUCUGCAUUUGCGAGAGUGGUUUACGGCUGUCUAAGACUCUGUCUGGCUGUGGCCUUCCUGCCCUACAUUCAUCAUGUGUCUCAUCACUGUUUUUCUUCUUUUUCCUCCCCGCCUGGCUGAAAGCGUGAGCGUGUCAUGAAGAGCAGACACAGUCCUAAACCACCAGACAGUGUCUCACUCCUGCUCUGAAUCAUAGGCGAGUUGUGAAAGGGGAGCAGCUGGGUAUCUGCGUGUGGCAGACAGAGGCCGUACAGCUCAUCCCGUUCCUUCUGUCUGUCGCUGGGGAGGGAAUCUCUGGGAGUCCAUUUGGCUGAGCUCCGCCACCUGCACAUACCUUCUCCAUAAUGUAACCGCCUAAAGGCCCAAGCCUCAGACUCUGUAUUUUCUAAUCAAGCAUCCCAGCCAAAUCCUCUCAACGUUUCCGUCCGCCUGCAUCCAAAUUAGGCAGGACAUUUUUCCAGCUGUCAGGCCCAAAAAUAUUCAUUUAAAUCUGGGGUUUUCAAAGCGAUGCCAAGAAAGCCCAAAUAUGAAAUGUUUUCUUAUUUUUGUGACAUUAUUAAGUCAACAUUUUGUUUCCUAAAUUAAAUAAUUUGCUUUUUAUAUUGUUAUUGUAUCAAAGCAAAUGAUUAAAAUAUUAUCUGGAAAAUAUUUACUUUGCAUUAACCUGACACUCUGAUGUUGUGUAUAAACCAGAAAUGACUUUCGAUUCAGACUUAUUUGAAUAGCAUUUUUCAUAAUAAAUUUGAUUCUAAAGCAUUUUGUAAAAAGCAAAAAAAAAAAAAAAAACAUUCAAAAUACAUACAAAAAUACUGUUGUAGCCAUUUAAGAAAGUGUAUUUUCUUGUAUAUUAUUUAUGUUUAAAUAUUAUUGGUUUGUGGUUUGUUUAAUUCAAUUUGCUAAUUAAGAAAAUUGUAAACGUCAUAAGGGGCGGUAAAUCGAAUGACGCCAGAAGAAGGGAAGUGGGUCAGACAUAAUUUUAUGACCACUUCAUAGGUUUUGUUUGUAGAAUUCUUUUCUUUGGAACAAAUUUCGUUUGGUAUAAUGUGUAUCUUAAUUUGAAUGCAUUUUUUGUUGGUCAGUUACUUGUCUAAAUAAAUUAAAUGAAGAAUAAGCAAACGUUUCACAAAAUGACGUGCGUUCAGAACAAGGCCCGCUACCAUGCUUCUGCGGCCAAAACAAAGGCCGAAACUAUAUAUACAGUACAGACCAAAAGUUUGGAAACAUUACUAUUUUAUGUUUUUGAAAGAAGUUUCAUCUGUUCAUCAAGCCUAGAUUUAUUUGAUCAAAAAUACAGAAAAAACUGUAAUAUUGUGAAAUAUUAUUACAACUUAAAAUAAUAGUUUUCUAUUUGAAUAUACUUUAAAAAAAUAAUUUAUUCCUGUGAUGCAAAGCUGAAUUUUCAGCAACAUUACUUCAGCCUUCAGUGUCACAUGUAACAUCCAGUCUAUCACAUGAUAAUUUAGAAAUCAUUCUAAUA
Carassius auratus (goldfish) is the source of this 2852-nucleotide long non-coding RNA. The record is from Ensembl. NCBI's taxonomy places the organism in Eukaryota, Metazoa, Chordata, Actinopteri, Cypriniformes, Cyprinidae.